Arvicanthis niloticus (Nile rat) is the source of this 466-nucleotide non-coding RNA. The record is from RefSeq and is a predicted model, not a curated record. Lineage: Eukaryota; Metazoa; Chordata; Mammalia; Rodentia; Muridae.
AAGCACUAGACUUAAUUUAGGUAUUGUGUUUAUAAUUGCCAAUGCUUCUAACCAUCUGCAUGCAUAAAGCAAAUGCCCAUCCUUUCCAGAGGAAUAUUAUAUAUAGAACUUCAAAUUAUUACUACUAAUUUUUCAUGUAUAUAAAGUGCAUGACUCAAAACCAGGAAUAAAAGUCAGCGGAACAGAUCCAAAGAGGAAUUAGAUAAUAGAGCUAUCAGACAAGGACCUUCGGGUAACAGUGCUUAGUGCUUUUAAGAAAAUUAAAGGCAAUGCUGAGAAUUUUGGUAGAGAAUUAGAAAUCAUUAAAAAAAAAAAAAAGAAACACUCUAGAACUGAAAAUAUAGUAACUGAAAUUAAGGCAUCAGUAUAAGAAUUAAAUAGCAUGUUAGAGGAAAUUGAAGGAAGAAUCAGUCUUGGGAAAAUAGAAGAAAAUUUAGACUCAAGCAUAAAAAGAGACAAAAAGACC